Molecule: ribosomal RNA, 449 nt
Filed under: uncultured bacterium
Lineage: Bacteria
Description: partial 16S ribosomal RNA
Rfam family: Bacterial small subunit ribosomal RNA
Source: RNAcentral
UUGCCAGACUCCUACGGGAGGCAGCAGUGGGGAAUAUUGGGCAAUGGGCGCAAGCCUGACCCAGCAACGCCGCGUGAAGGAAGAAGGCUUUCGGGUUGUAAACUUCUUUUAAGAGGGAAGAGCAGAAGACGGUACCUCUUGAAUAAGCCACGGCUAACUACGUGCCAGCAGCCGCGGUAAUACGUAGGGAGCGAGCGUUAUCCGGAAUUAUUGGGUGUAAAGGGUGCGUAGACGGGAAAGCAAGUUAGUUGUGAAAUCCCUCGGCUUAACUGAGGAACUGCAACUAAAACUACUUUUCUUGAGUGCAGGAGAGGUAAGUGGAAUUCCUAGUGUAGCGGUGAAAUGCGUAGAUAUUAGGAGGAACACCAGUGGCGAAGGCGACUUACUGGACUGUAACUGGCGUUGAGGCACGAAAGUGUGGGGAGCAAACAGGAUUAGAUACCCGUGUA